Molecule: long non-coding RNA, 530 nt
Organism: Venturia canescens
Lineage: Eukaryota; Metazoa; Arthropoda; Insecta; Hymenoptera; Ichneumonidae
Exons: 2
Source: RefSeq, a predicted model, not a curated record
AAAAAAAUUGAAACGGAUUUUCCAAAUUGACACGGUCUCUUACCGGUUCCAGUGGUUUUCCCAUCUUUAUGCGCCUGAAAUUUGAAGCCAUUGACGAACAGCUCUUGCAGAAACUUCCAGUUCUUUGACACGGAAGUACAGAUUUCGGGCUGCUGAACCCUCAGUCGUUGAAAGAUCGUGAAUAAGAAUGCCCCGAGGGCUGUCGCUGACAUAAGGAUGAGGAAGAGGAAGAGGAAAAGCGAAGAAAAAAGAAGAGACCGAGAGACAGACGCCGAGGGAAAAGAGAAUAACUGGAAGGUCGACGACCAUUCGCUAACCAACGAAAUGUCUCAUCUCACCGUCGUUCUUUGACCCAAGAAAAAUAUUUUUCUUAUUCAUUUUCGCCCUGCUCCUUUGCUCUGUCGCAAGAUCAUGUUGUGCCUCGUAGACUCGGUCCUCAGUCGACCUCCUCUGAGAUUCGUAUAUGUACGUGUAGAAAUCUAUAAAUGUGUAUGAAAUGAAAUAUAAAUAUAUCUCUUGGGACAUACAAA